GAAAGGGAUGGAAGGAUAAGGUGGAGGUCAGCCCACGAAGCGUGGUGUAACUAGCGUAGCACGAAUUGUGCUUGUAGAUAUUUGUUUUCUGUUUGAAUUAGAGAUAGAGUUCUAGUCGGUUAAGAAGUUAUCUGUACGGGGCUAUAAAUAGCUACCUUUGUAAAUCUGUAAACACACAAUCAAUCAAUACAACAAGUUACUUUCUUCUUCGUACUUACUUUCGAGCAGGCGACUUCGCCGUUACUUUUUCUUCUCACGAGUUCGUGCGGGUUGGCAGGGCUGCAUCAUCUUGAUCUCCGGCCGAUUCUGUAAGUUCCGUUUAUCGAGUAAUAUCUAAGCUUUAACUUCCGGCGCAUCGCUGUUGUUUCGUUUAGAUUUAUUCAUCAGUUAUCGAUAUCAACUAGAUUCAUAGGUUUUUACCUGUUUUCCUA
Molecule: long non-coding RNA, 431 nt
Filed under: Setaria viridis
Lineage: Eukaryota; Viridiplantae; Streptophyta; Magnoliopsida; Poales; Poaceae
Description: long non-coding RNA (SVIR_LNC010308)
Source: RNAcentral